RNAcentral lists this transfer RNA (72 nucleotides) under Camelus bactrianus (Bactrian camel). It matches the Rfam family "tRNA". From Rfam's summary of the family: Transfer RNA (tRNA) molecules are approximately 80 nucleotides in length. Their secondary structure includes four short double-helical elements and three loops (D, anti-codon, and T loops). Lineage: Eukaryota; Metazoa; Chordata; Mammalia; Artiodactyla; Camelidae. RNAcentral also lists the same sequence under 2 other names. The record is from Rfam by way of RNAcentral.
GAGAGUGUAGCUCAGCGGUAGAGCACAUGCUUAGUAUGCAGGACGUCCUGGGUUCAAUCCCCAGUACCUCCA